AUGCGGCGGCGGGGGUGGCAGGUCCUGGGUCGCUCCGCUGGACUAGUUCGCAGAGGGUCGUUGUCACCCGGGGUAAGCGGCAGGCGCGGCGACACCUGGGAGACGCGGUGGGUCGCGGGUCGCCCCACAGGACGAGCCCUUCGUGGGUCGCUGUCACUCGGGUUAAGCAGCAGGUGCGGGGACGCCCGGGGGAUGCAGUGGGUCCCGGGUCGUCCCGCAGGACGAACACCCGGGGGCCACUGUCACCUGGGGAACGGGGCAGGCGCGGCGACACCCAGAGACGCGGCGGGUCCUGGGUUGCCUGCUGGACGCGUCCGCCAGGGGUCGCUGUCACGGGGGGGAUGGCGGGUCCCAGGUCCCUCCGCUGGACGAGUUCGCAGAGGGUCGCUGUCACCCGGGGUAAGCGGUAGGCGCGGCGACACCCGGGAGACGCGGUGGGUCCCAGGUCACCCCGCAGGACGAACACCCGGGGUCGCUGUCACCCGGGGAACGGGGCAGGCGCGGCGACACCCAGACACGCGGUGGUUCCUGGGUUGCCUGCAGGACGAGUCCGCCAGGGGUCGCUGUCACCCGGGGGACGCGGCGGCGGGGAUGGCGGGUCCCAGGUCACUCCGCUGGACGAGUUCGCAGAGGUUCGUUGUCACCCGGGGUAAGCGGCAGGCGCGGAGACACCCGGGAGACGCGGUAGGUUCCGGGUCGCCCCGCAGGACGAGCCCUUCGUGGGUCGCUGUCACUCGGGGUAAGCGGCAGGCGCGGCGACACCCAGAGACGUGGCGUGUCCCGAGUCGCCUGCAGGACGAGUCCGCCAGGGGUCGCUGUCACCCGAGGAACGCGGCGGCGGGGGUGGCGGGUCCCGGGUCGCUCCGCAGGACUAGCCCUUCGGUGAUUGCUGUCACUCGGGGUAAGCGGCAGGCGCGCCCGGUUCUGGGGUCGCCCCGCAGUAUGUGUCCGCCGAAGGUCGCUGUUACCUGGAGAACGGGGCGGCGGCUCCCGGGUCGCCCCGCAGGACGAGUCCGCCGAAGGUCGCUGUCACUCGGGGUAAGAGGCAGGCGCGGCGACACCCAGAGACGCGGCGGGUCCCGGGUCGCCCCGCAGGACGAGUCCGCGAGGGUCGCUGUCAUCCGGGGGACACGGCGGCAGGGAAGCGGGUCCCGGGUCGCCCCGCAGGAUGAGCCCACCGAGGGUCGCUGUCACCGGGGAGGGGGGGGACGCGGUGGGUCCCGGGUCGCCCCGCGGGACGAGCCCCCGGGGUCGCUGUCACCCGGGGAACGGGGCAGGCGCGGCGACACCCAGAGACGCGGCGGGUCCUGGGUUGCCUGCAGGACGAGUCCGCCAGGGGUCGCUGUCACGGGGGGGAUGGCGGGUCCCAGGUCCCUCCGCUGGACGAGUUCGCAGAGGGUCGCUGUCACCCGGGGUAAGCGGUAG
This 1425-nucleotide long non-coding RNA is filed under the name Felis catus (domestic cat). RNAcentral's name for it is "lncRNA (ENSFCAG00000052378.1)". The record is from RNAcentral. Lineage: Eukaryota; Metazoa; Chordata; Mammalia; Carnivora; Felidae.